This is a long non-coding RNA of Portunus trituberculatus (swimming crab), 302 nucleotides long. RefSeq lists it as uncharacterized. NCBI's taxonomy places the organism in Eukaryota, Metazoa, Arthropoda, Malacostraca, Decapoda, Portunidae. The transcript is spliced from 2 exons. The record is from RefSeq and is a predicted model, not a curated record.
AGAGAGAGAGAGAGAGAGAGAGAGAGAGAGAGAGAGAGAGAGAGAGAGAGAGAGAGAGAGAGAGAGAGAGAGAGAGAGAGAGAGAGAGAGAGAGAGAGACUGCCAGUGAUAGACAGCAUAAUUGGCGUGUAUUUCCCGUGUGUGUGUGUGUGUGUGUGUGUGUGUGUGUGUGUGUGUGUGUGUGUGUGUGUGUGUGUGUGUGUGUGUGUGUGUGUGUGUGUGUGUAUGUGUGUGCUCCUGAUGUCAUAAACAAUACAAGACAUAAAUGUUUGCUCAGAAAAAUAUAUCAUGCAGUGCAUUGA